This is an RNA transcript of Triticum dicoccoides, 2411 nucleotides long. It is a transcript of the gene named queuine tRNA-ribosyltransferase-like, with no coding region annotated. NCBI's taxonomy places the organism in Eukaryota, Viridiplantae, Streptophyta, Magnoliopsida, Poales, Poaceae. The record is from RefSeq and is a predicted model, not a curated record. The transcript is spliced from 4 exons.
UAUCUCGAUCCCCCUCCCCCGCGUCCGAAUCCCAAACCCUAACCCACCUGCGCCGACGACACCAUCCCCCCGCCGCCGAUCUUGACCUGCACGCUGCUCAGCUCCAGCCAUGGCAUCUCAUACCCCCAGCGUCCUCUUCCUUAUCCCGCCGUCAGGUCGUAGGAUUUGCCCCGCCGUCCGCUGCCAUGGAUCUGCCGCCAAGUCCGCUUCCGAGGAGCCACCGUCCGCUCCUGCUGUUUCCCGGCAGGGCAGCUGCUGCUGAGGAGUCCGCUGCCGAGGAGCGGUCGUCCUGUCCGCUUCCUUGGAGUCGUCCGUAGCUGAGGAGCAACCGAUGUACUUCCUUGAGAUUGACCCCCUUGUCCUUCUCAGCCUCCAGAACGCUGUAGGUAAACAUAUUCGAUCUGUGAAUGUUCAGGACUAGCGUCUGCUUGACUGACUACCAGAUACGCCAUUCGUGCUCUUGCAGGUGGCGAAGAUAAAGACUGGCUUUGGCGUGUUGUUGCACAGUGCACCGGUGGAUGCGCAAAGAUAAACCAGAAUAUGUAAUGUGUUCUGAAGCUGAAACAAAAUGCAAUGGUAAUUGAUGAACGGCCCAUUGAUCCUUCCUGUCCAUAUAUGGUAUAGCUUCAACACGACCAGCACUCCUAUUUCAUCUUUUAUAGUGAUCCCUACAUGUUAAAGAGAGCUUUGUUUGUGUUGCCUGUAGUGUGGUUCAGGGUUUCAAAAGUAGAUGCCGAGCUACCUAGAUACUGUGAUGCUUCUGCAUGAGUGGUGUUAGUUUUAUUGUACUUUGCAGUUUGUUUUAUGUUCUCUUCUGUCACUUCACGUCUUGGUAUAUUCUUCCUUGGUUCCCCAUUAUUCAAGUUUUUGUCUAUUUAAUAUGUAAUGAAUACUGAAAUUUUUGUUUCGACAUUGACAAUUUGAGUUUCUACAUUUCACUGGUAGUUGUGAAUCACUCCUGAAGGUACAUCCAUGAGGGACAAAAGGUUAUUUGGCGCUAGCAAUUAUUAACCACAUCUAAUCUGAUGCAUGUAUAUCAUGUAGGAAGAUGAUGACUUGUUCAUCCAGAAGCGUGUACCCCACCUAGAAGCCAUGCAGGCCUUGAGGAAUUCAGAGCAAGUUUGGUUCGCGGCCUGGUUAAGUCUCGCCUGGCCUAGACGUUGCAUGCUUGCAUGUAGGUUCUUUGGUGCAAAUACUGAAAAAGCCUGGCAUAGCCUAGCCUGUAGUUUGCAUGCUGGUGAUUAGCCUGGGCAGUACAGCCAGGGGGUAGUUAGCCUGACCCAGGCAUGGGAAUUUGGGUGCCUCGUCACACGAAGGAGCUCAUGCACUUACAGUAGUAAUAGCACAUUAGAUAUGAUCACUUGAUUAGUAAAAUAUAUUCUCAUAAUUGUGUCUUCAGCUUAGUUCCAAUAUGCAAUAUGAAAUUUUGUAGUAGUACUGCUGUAGCUAAUCGUGCCCAAGUAUUAAAUUUACAUAUGUUUUGAACUUUGCAAGUGCAUAUGUAUGCAAAUUUCAAAGCAUAUGUAGCUUUUGGAACUGAGCUGAAGACAGUCAUAUUUGGAUUGUUUAUAACUUUCUUAUUGUGAAUAUUUGAGAGCCCAUGCAAGAUGGUAAGAUGAACUUUGCCUACAUAUGCACCUGAGAGCACGUGCAUAUUAUAAGUACCAGUUUACAGUACCAUUUACUACACAACUUAGUACAUUCUAUUAACAAGUGCAUAUGUGAUUGUUUGCUGAUUGGGGAACUUCAAAUGCAAUGCUCUAUAUAGUUACAAUAAGAACCGUAUUCAUGAUGCCUUAUAACAGAUUUGAUUGCUUAUCAAUCAGGGCAUAAAUUUUGAUCGUAAGCCAUGUGAACCUUACUCAUGUUUCCUUAUAACAGAUUUGAUUGCUUAUCAAUCCGUGCAUACAUUUUGACUGUAAGCCAUGUGAUAUGCUAGGUGCUAGCUUGGCUUGGGUUGAUGUUCAGAUAAGGACAUAUUCUUGUUACCUGUUUGUUGUAAAUCUACUUUUUAGAUCUUUAUGAUCAAGGGCCAAUCACGAAUUUGAACAACUUCUCAUUUUCGAAGAUUGCUCAAAUAUAUGAGUUCUUUUGUAGGGACAAAUGGAAAAAGUAGCAAGUCCACAAGUUGAUGUAAGAUGUUCAAGUGACCGCUUUUGUUUAACAUGGUUGGCACAUUCUGUUCAUAUGGAAGGUGAUGUGAGCUUGGUGGUCAAAGACUUGGUCUCUUCCGUAAUAUUUUGUAGUACUCGAGUGAUCAAACAAUUGGUCUCUUAGGAAAUGGCCAUCAUAUUUUGUAACAGGCCUUGGCAUGAAUGUCGACUUGUGUAUUUCGUUAACGAUUGUAGCUAACUUGAGUGAAGAAAACUAACGGAUCUUCUAUACAUGAAUGAAUGCAUUGAUCAAUGGUA